Molecule: long non-coding RNA, 240 nt
Organism: Helianthus annuus (common sunflower)
Lineage: Eukaryota; Viridiplantae; Streptophyta; Magnoliopsida; Asterales; Asteraceae
Exons: 2
Source: RefSeq, a predicted model, not a curated record
GAAGAUAUAAUGUCGCUUGACAUUAGCCGUGAAUCAGAUGCUUCAAAUUCCGUAAACAAUCCUAAGGUAUCCACUCCAAAUGCUUCAAGUAGUGUUGAUUGUUAAAAAUCAAAGAACAUCUCAAGGUUUGAUUGUUUGGAAUUGAAGAUCUUGAGAAAGAAAGGCAUAUGGGAACUUGAAUGUUGAAACUAUUUGGAUGUUAUGAUUAGACUUUUAUGGAUUUCGUUUUAAGUUUGUUAA